CCAACAGGGAUUGCCUCAGUAACGGCGAGUGAAGCGGCAACAGCUCAAAUUUGAAAUCUGGCCUAGCCCGAGUUGUAAUUUGCAGAGGAUGCUUCUGGUGCGGCGCUGUCCAAGUCCCCUGGAACGGGGCGCCACAGAGGGUGAGAGCCCCGUCUGGUCAGCCGCCAAGCCUGUGUGAAGCUCCUUCGACGAGUCGAGUAGUUUGGGAAUGCUGCUCUAAACGGGAGGUAGACCCCUUCUAAAGCUAAAUAUUGGCCAGAGACCGAUAGCGCACAAGUAGAGUGAUCGAAAGAUGAAAAGCACUUUGAAAAGAGGGUUAAACAGUACGUGAAAUUGUUAAAAGGGAAGCGCUUGUGACCAGACGUGCGCCGGGCGUUCAGCGGGCGUUCUCGCCCGUGUACUCGUCCCGGCGCAGGCCAGCGUCGGUUCGGAUGGGGGGACAAAGGCGUCGGAAAUGUAGCUCCUCCGGGAGUGUUAUAGUCCGGUGUGCCAUGCCCCCGUCUGGACCGAGGUUCGCGCUCUGCAAGGACGCUGGCAUAAUGGUCCCCAGCGGCCCGUCUUGAAACACGGACCAAGGAGUCGAGGUUUUGUGCGAGUGUUUGGGUGUCAAACCCGCACGCGUAAUGAAAGUGAACGUAGGUGGGAGCUUCGGCGCACCACCGACCGAUCCUGAUGUUCUCGGAUGGAUUUGAGUAGGAGCACAGGGCCUCGGACCCGAAAGAUGGUGAACUAUACUUGGAUAGGGUGAAGCCAGAGGAAACUCUGGUGGAGGCUCGCAGCGGUUCUGACGUGCAAAUCGAUCGUCAAAUCUGAGUAUGGGGGGCGAAAGACUAAUCGAACCAU
RNAcentral lists this ribosomal RNA (843 nucleotides) under Arcuatospora sp. Its description in RNAcentral is "partial large subunit ribosomal RNA". It matches the Rfam family "Eukaryotic large subunit ribosomal RNA", at positions 65 to 943 of the family's 3401-position model. The record is from RNAcentral. Lineage: Eukaryota; Fungi; Ascomycota; Sordariomycetes; Chaetosphaeriales; Chaetosphaeriaceae.